This 1129-nucleotide long non-coding RNA is filed under the name Triticum aestivum (bread wheat). RNAcentral's name for it is "long non-coding RNA (TAES_LNC015334)". Lineage: Eukaryota; Viridiplantae; Streptophyta; Magnoliopsida; Poales; Poaceae. The record is from RNAcentral.
UCGCAUUGUUUUAACUUGUCCCUUUGGCUUUUUUGAAUCCACCCAAAUGCGGAGAUCAGACUGGGUUGUGUGCCACCUUCUUUGCAUGGAAUUACGAUGGCGACAAGCUACAGAUACCACUAAACGAAGUAUGUUGGUCUAGCAUCAUACUCCCAUGGAAAAUGCGUUUUUUGCUAAUCCACACCAUCUUUUGCUGCAGGACACACUUGCAUCACACAACAGCCUAAUGAUCUACGAACUAAUGAGGAUGCAAGGCAACCAAACUCCAGUAGCAAACGACGCCCUUGAAGCGGUCAAAGUAUCAUUCACUGCUCUUUAGAAUACCGUUCUAACUACCGGAAAUUUCUUUCCAACUGGAUUGUAUUAUAACUAGAGAUUACAACCAUUUCACGGGCCACCUGGCACAAAACUAUGUCUGACGAUCGGUUACUACUUAUGUGUGUCGAGUGCAAAUUUCUAGCACAUCUGAUAGAAACCAAAUUUCAUAUGCAACUAGUUCACACUAGUUUACCACAUACAUUCGGAGGUACAAGUUCAACUGCUAGGACACAAACAAAGGCAAGUACUCAACAACAGCUGAUGGACUGCUAGGGUUACAACUAUCACAUCUAGAACACAAGCUUUUUUUGUGGAUGCAGUUAAAAGUUCACUGCUCCUAACCGAAGAAGCACUUGCAACAGAAUGCUGCCAGCAGCAUGAACAGUGCAAACCCCUUGACAUAGCCAGGUCCUUGAUUCAUAGCUAAAUUGUCUAUAGGAGCAGGAGGUAGUUCUAGCUGGGUAGAGCGGUGUUGUGCCACCACACUUGCCGCAUCUCGUAACUCUGAGUUGAUCCUCUCUAAGUGACGCACCCUGUCGCGGAGAUCAAUGAGGAGUUGUUUGAGGAACGGAUCCUCAAUACGAUCGUCAUGCCACACGUACAUUUCACAGCCUCCAGUCUGACGGGAUUUGACCACAAAAUAACGUCAGAAUGUAGGAAUCAUAGAUCAGCCAACUAGUUUUAGUAGAACACAUACCCGCGACUUGGCGCAUGUCUUGUAUCUUCUUCCAGGGUUAUCAUCGCUCCAGGAGAUCCACAUGGCGGCCUUGGGUCUCUCCUUGCACCAGCAUGGCGUCGCUGGUUCGUAGUC